GGCCGCGUGGCCUAAUGGUUUAUCUGUCGGUAUCCAUAUAAGGCGUCUGACUUCGAAUCAGAAGAUUGUGGGUUCGACUCCCCCCGUGGUCG
RNAcentral lists this transfer RNA (92 nucleotides) under Hypsibius dujardini. It matches the Rfam family "tRNA". From Rfam's summary of the family: Transfer RNA (tRNA) molecules are approximately 80 nucleotides in length. RNAcentral also lists the same sequence under 1 other name. Lineage: Eukaryota; Metazoa; Tardigrada; Eutardigrada; Parachela; Hypsibiidae. The record is from Rfam by way of RNAcentral.